Molecule: ribosomal RNA, 206 nt
Filed under: uncultured bacterium
Lineage: Bacteria
Description: partial 16S ribosomal RNA
Rfam family: Bacterial small subunit ribosomal RNA
Source: RNAcentral
UGCGUAGGUGGCGGGGUAAGUCAGGUGUGAAAUCUCGGAGCUCAACUCCGAAACUGCACUUGAUACUGCCUUGCUCGAGUACUGGAGAGGAGAUUGGAAUUUACGGUGUAGCAGUGAAAUGCGUAGAUAUCGUAAGGAAGACCAGUGGCGAAGGCGAAUCUCUGGACAGUUACUGACACUGAGGCACGAAGGCCAGGGAGCAAACA